Molecule: ribosomal RNA, 253 nt
Filed under: uncultured Gemmata sp.
Lineage: Bacteria; Pseudomonadati; Planctomycetota; Planctomycetia; Gemmatales; Gemmataceae
Description: partial 16S ribosomal RNA
Rfam family: Bacterial small subunit ribosomal RNA
Source: RNAcentral
GACGAACCGUGCGAACGUUGUUCGGAUUCACUGGGCUUAAAGGGCGCGUAGGCGGACAAUCAAGUCUAGGGUGAAAUUUUUCAGCUUAACUGGAAACGUGCCUUGGAUACUGGUUGUCUCGAGGGAGGUAGGGGCAUGCGGAACUUCCGGUGGAGCGGUGAAAUGCGUAGAUAUCGGAAGGAACGCCGGUGGCGAAAGCGGCGUGCUGGACCUCUUCUGACGCUGAGGCGCGAAAGCUAGGGGAGCGAACGGG